GCUCAUCUCAUCUUCAGCUAAAUAAAAAAAUAUGAGUGAUGUUUGAUUAAUCUUUUUUGUUCAUACAGCUUGGCCAUGAUGCCUGCCUGAUUCAAUGCUAGCUGUUGUAUUGAUGCAAUGAAAGGACAAUGACAGUAGUUAGUGAAUAAAAAGUCACAUCAAAGAAUGAUUCCCAAAACAGAUCAGUUGAUGAAUCACAAAUCAUAACAGGAAUCACAAAUCAUUUGAUGAUGAAUCACAAAUCAGAACAGUUGAUGAAUGACAUAAGCUUGGCCAUGAUGCCUGCCUGAUUCAAUGCUAGCUGUUGUAUUGAUGCAAUGAAAGGACAAUGACAGUAGUUAGUGAAUAAAAAGUCACAUCAAAGAAUGAUUCCCAAAACAGAUCAGUUGAUGAAUCACAAAUCAUAACAGGAAUCACAAAUCAUUUGAUGAUGAAUCACAAAUCAGAACAGUUGAUGAAUGACAUAAGCUUGGCCAUGAUGCCUGCCUGAUUCAAUGCUAGCUGUUGUAUUGAUGCAAUGAAAGGACAAUGACAGUAGUUAGUGAAUAAAAAGUCACAUCAAAGAAUGAUUCCCAAAACAGAUCAGUUGAUGUAUCACAAAUCAUAACAGGAAUCACAAAUCAUUUGAUGAUGAAUCACAAAUCAGAACAGUUGAUGAAUGACAUAAGAGCUUGGCUAUGGAUUUUAGAGUCUGGUGUGAAUUCUUGCCAAAUGUGAUGCUAGAUUGCUGUUGCGAUGCUGACGAAUUGCCUAAAGAUGUUGACAAGAGACACAUUCACCCGAUUGAAAUGACAGUAUAUAAACAAAGGUAUGCUGUUUCAGAUAUUUUUUGUUGCCUUUAGGACAUUCUUUUAAUUUUGAGCAAGAUAUUUAUAGAGAGCCAUUAUUAUUUUGCUGCAAAACGUCUUCGAGAAAAAACGUCAGUUUUGUCUUUAUCAAGAAAUGAAAUCAGUCUACGAAAUAAAAUCGAGAAAUAAGUUGUUUCUUCUUUUCAAAACGGAUCCUUUUACAAAUGUUUGAAACAAUUUCCUUUACAAGUCUUGUAGAUGUGAAUUCCAACCCUUUAAUUUUUAAAAUAUACUUACAAGUACUAAAUAAGAGCCUUUUCGAGCAAAAAUGAAAUAUUUGUUUGACUCUAAAAAACGGGUUUUCAAAAAACUAUUUACAUUUCUAUUCCCUACAAACACUAUAGCCAAUAUUUAGUUUUUUUUUUAAAUCCUACUCUUGAUCACAAUUACAGCAUUUUUAUUUUUCAACUUUCAAAAAGGCGGAGAUACUUAAAAGUUUCUAGUAAUAAUUUUACUAAUUAAGCAAACAAACUUACAUUAUUUAUUUUGAUAAAAUUGUUUAUUAUUCAUUUUCAUUAGUCAUUCAUUGAUUAUUCAUUGUCUCUUUAAUUGUUAAUAACAAUUUAUCAAUUUAUAAACAUUUUAUCUUCUCUUAGAAAGUUUCUUAGUUAAUAAUUAGCGUCUUCUUUCAUUGUGUCUACUCUUUAUUGCUCAAUAAUUUUUUGAAUAAUCUUUUCAUUGCUUAAAGUUUUCUCGUCUUAAAAAUCUCUCAAUUAUAGGCUAUCUCUUUUAAUGUUUUUUAACUAUAUUUUUGGAUAUAUAAAGUUUGCAAAAACUUCUCAAUUAUAGGCUAUCUCUUUUAAUGUUUUUUAACUAUAUUUUUGGAUAUAUAAAGUUUGCAAAAACUUCUCAAUUAUAGGCUAUCUCUUUUAAUGUUUUUUAACUAUAUUUUUGGAUAUAUAAAGUUUGCAAAAACUUCUCAAUUAUAGGCUAUCUCUUUUAAUGUUUUUUAACUAUAUUUUUGGAUAUAUAAAGUUUGCAAAAACUUCUCAAUUAAUUCCUAUCUUAACUUAAUAUUUUCUUUUAACUUAGAAUAAUAUCUUUGUUUACUUAUCUUAGUAGGCCUAAGUUGUUGGUAGCUACUUUUGUAGGCCCUUUUUCUAGAUAAAGUAGGUAAUUUUGGUUUUUAAAACAAUAGAGAGAACAAUAGAGAACAAUAGCGAUGAAACAAAAGUUUAAGAUAGGUUUUGCCUACUCCACCCCUAUUGUAGAAUGGGAUCUGGUCCCAUGGGAUUUGUCCAGUUCCUCAGCCCCUUUGUUCCCAUUGUCU
Rhopilema esculentum is the source of this 2118-nucleotide non-coding RNA. The record is from RefSeq and is a predicted model, not a curated record. NCBI's taxonomy places the organism in Eukaryota, Metazoa, Cnidaria, Scyphozoa, Rhizostomeae, Rhizostomatidae.